Molecule: long non-coding RNA, 836 nt
Filed under: Sus scrofa (pig)
Lineage: Eukaryota; Metazoa; Chordata; Mammalia; Artiodactyla; Suidae
Description: lncRNA (ENSSSCG00060067261.1)
Source: RNAcentral
GUCUUGCACUGCCUCCACCUCUUCCCACUGGCUUCUUGAGGGAAGAGGAAGAAGGAAGCUCUGCUUUGUCUUCAGGCUUUUUAUAAAAUGCCUGCUGCAAUCAACACCUGGUUUAACUAAAUUCCAUCCGCUUCGGUUGUGGGUUCUUUCACAGGAAGGCCCUGGGAUCGGCGAGGGGCUUCGGAAUGUCAGUGUCAAUGAGGACCCACAGAACUUAAUGCCUAGCACAGCACCCUCGUUGUUAAGACUGUCUUAGAAACACAGGUGCGGGAAAGAGGGACGAUGCUAAAAGCAGUUUAUCUUGGCCCACCAGCACCAGCACUACCAGUGGCAUCACCACGGAGCUGCUCGAAGGCCUGCCCAUCUACUCCUGCAGGUGUGUGGAUUACCUCAUCCUAUAGGAGAGCUCACAUGUGUAAGAUGCUACAAAGAGCCAAGAAAGAGUUCUGACUGAAGACAGAAGUGCUCUCUCAGGUGAGGGCCCUCUGAGGAAAAGUCUAGUCCUGACUAGAUCCUGACUUAUCUCCGGGUUGAAAAUCCCCUCUCUUCACCAGGUGUCACUUUAUGUCUGGGUAAGAUGAAGACAGACCAAUUUUAUUGCUCUUUCUAGAUUCACCUCUUAGUGAUGAACACCCUUUUGGCAAAUGGAAAAAUCACCAGAACUGAAGACAGGUGUUUGUUUCUUUCCAGCAUUCCACCUGCCAGCCGCUCCAAAGCCAUGAAAACCUUCUGGCAAAUCCUCUUGCGAGGCUCCUCCCCAUAGGACUAUUCCCAGUGAAAUGGAGUUACCGCCUCCGGCCCCAUCCCACCUCUCUUGAACUUUGCACUCGCUGUGA